GACGAACGCUGGCGGCGUGCCUAAUACAUGCAAGUAGAACGCUGAAGAGAGGAGCUUGCUCUUCUUGGAUGAGUUGCGAACGGGUGAGUAACGCGUAGGUAACCUGCCUGGUAGCGGGGGAUAACUAUUGGAAACGAUAGCUAAUACCGCAUAAAAUUGAUUAUUGCAUGAUAAUUAAUUGAAAGAUGCAACUGCAUCACUACCAGAUGGACCUGCGUUGUAUUAGCUAGUUGGUGAGGUAACGGCUCACCAAGGCGACGAUACAUAGCCGACCUGGGAGGGUGAUCGGCCACACUGGGACUGAGACACGGCCCAGACUCCUACGGGAGGCAGCAGUAGGGAAGCUUCGGCAAUGGGGGGAACCCUGACCGAGCAACGCCGCGUGAGUGAAGAAGGUUUUCGGAUCGUAAAGCUCUGUUGUAAGAGAAGAACGGGUGUGAGAGUGGAAAGUUCACACUGUGACGGUAUCUGACCAGAAAGGGACGGCUAACUACGUG
This 497-nucleotide ribosomal RNA is filed under the name uncultured bacterium. Its description in RNAcentral is "partial 16S ribosomal RNA". It matches the Rfam family "Bacterial small subunit ribosomal RNA", at positions 28 to 507 of the family's 1533-position model. The record is from RNAcentral.